AUUAGCCAUGCAUGUCUCAGUACAAGCCGCAUUAAGGCGAAACCGCGAAUGGCUCAUUAAAUCAGUUAUGGUUCCUUAGAUCUUACACUUUUUACAUGGAUAACUGUGGUAAUUCUAGAGCUAAUACAUGAAACUAGUACCCCGACUUUACGGAAGGGGUGCUUUUAUUAGAACAAAACCAAUCGGUCGGCUCGUCCGUCCGUUGCCUUGGUGACUCUGAAUAACUUUGGGCUGAUCGCACGGUCCUAGCACCGGCGACGCAUCUUUCAAAUGUCUGCCUUAUCAACUGUCGAUGGUAGGUUCUGCGCCUACCAUGGUUGUAACGGGUGACGGGGAAUCAGGGUUCGAUUCCGGAGAGGGAGCCUGAGAAACGGCUACCACAUCCAAGGAAGGCAGCAGGCGCGCAAAUUACCCACUCCCGGCACGGGGAGGUAGUGACGAAAAAUAACGAUACGGGACUCAUCCGAGGCCCCGUAAUCGGAAUGAGAACACUUUAAAUCCUUUAACGAGGAUCUAUUGGAGGGCAAGUCUGGUGCCAGCAGCCGCGGUAAUUCCAGCUCCAAUAGCGUAUAUUAAAGUUGUUGCGGUUAAAAAGCUCGUAGUCGGAGGUGUGUCUCGGACGGUCGGUUCGCCGCUUGUCGGUGCUCAACUGGCCGGUCCGGACGUCCUGCCGGUGGGGCUGUAAAAGGCUCCGUUAUCCUUCUUUGGUCCUCUUCAUUGAGUGCCUUGGUGGGCCGGCACGUUUACUUUGAACAAAUUAGAGUGCUCAAAGCAGGCCGUUGGUCGCCUGAAUACUGUGUGCAUGGAAUAAUAGAAUAGGACCUCGGUUCCAUUUUGUUGGUUUUCAGAACUCGAGGUAAUGAUUAAUAGGGACGGACGGGGGCAUUCGUAUUGCGACGUUAGAGGUGAAAUUCUUGGAUCGUCGCAAGACGAACCGAUGCGAAAGCAUUUGCCCAAGAACGUUUUCGUUGAUCAAGAACGAAAGUUAGAGGUU
Molecule: ribosomal RNA, 994 nt
Filed under: Orthetrum melania
Lineage: Eukaryota; Metazoa; Arthropoda; Insecta; Odonata; Libellulidae
Description: SSU rRNA
Rfam family: Eukaryotic small subunit ribosomal RNA
Source: RNAcentral